This 612-nucleotide ribosomal RNA is filed under the name Anabaena sp. LCRNK32. Its description in RNAcentral is "bacterial SSU rRNA". It matches the Rfam family "Bacterial small subunit ribosomal RNA", at positions 161 to 802 of the family's 1533-position model. Lineage: Bacteria; Bacillati; Cyanobacteriota; Cyanophyceae; Nostocales; Nostocaceae. The record is from RNAcentral.
GGCUAAUACCGGAUGUGCCGAAAGGUGAAAGAUUUAUUGCCUGAAGAUGAGCUCGCGUCUGAUUAGCUAGUUGGUGUGGUAAGAGCGCACCAAGGCGACGAUCAGUAGCUGGUCUGAGAGGAUGAUCAGCCACACUGGGACUGAGACACGGCCCAGACUCCUACGGGAGGCAGCAGUGGGGAAUUUUCCGCAAUGGGCGAAAGCCUGACGGAGCAAUACCGCGUGAGGGAGGAAGGCUCUUGGGUUGUAAACCUCUUUUCUCAGGGAAUAAAAAAAUGAAGGUACCUGAGGAAUAAGCAUCGGCUAACUCCGUGCCAGCAGCCGCGGUAAUACGGAGGAUGCAAGCGUUAUCCGGAAUGAUUGGGCGUAAAGCGUCCGCAGGUGGCACUGUAAGUCUGCUGUUAAAGAGCAAGGCUCAACCUUGUACAGGCAGUGGAAACUACAGAGCUAGAGUACGUUCGGGGCAGAGGGAAUUCCUGGUGUAGCGGUGAAAUGCGUAUAGAUCACGAAGAACACCGGUGGCGAAAGCGCUCUGCUAGGCCGUAACUGACACUGACGGGACGAAAGCUAGGGGAGCGAAUGGGAUUUGAUACCGCGGGGGGGCAGAUGCCC